RNAcentral lists this non-coding RNA (24 nucleotides) under Callithrix jacchus (white-tufted-ear marmoset). RNAcentral also lists the same sequence under 3 other names. Lineage: Eukaryota; Metazoa; Chordata; Mammalia; Primates; Cebidae. The record is from RNAcentral.
AAAGAUUUCCGUGGAGAGGAACAA